UUGCGACAGUUCUUCUUUAAAUUUUCCC
RNAcentral lists this small RNA (28 nucleotides) under Bombyx mori (domestic silkworm). Its description in RNAcentral is "piRNA piR-bmo-1576336". Lineage: Eukaryota; Metazoa; Arthropoda; Insecta; Lepidoptera; Bombycidae. The record is from RNAcentral.